RNAcentral lists this unclassified non-coding RNA (305 nucleotides) under Paenibacillus aquistagni. RNAcentral's name for it is "Long range pseudoknot". The record is from RNAcentral. Lineage: Bacteria; Bacillati; Bacillota; Bacilli; Caryophanales; Paenibacillaceae.
AUCGAGGAACACGACUUCCAAACAAAGCUUCGCAAUGUUGUUAAGUUCUUGAAAGAUGGCGACAAAGUAAAAUGCUCCGUUCGUUUCCGCGGACGUGAGAUUACACAUGCUGCUAUUGGUCAACGCGUGCUUGAGCGCGUAAAGACAGAAGUUCAAGAGCUAAGCGUUGUUGAACGUCAGCCAAAGCUUGAAGGUCGCAGCAUGAUUAUGAUUCUGGGACCGAAGACGGGACAAUAAGAAUCGGUCAUUAUCGACUAUAGAUGUUUCAUGAAUGGACGCCCGCCACGCUGUCUAGGUGGCGGCAA